Molecule: non-coding RNA, 45 nt
Filed under: Schistosoma mattheei
Lineage: Eukaryota; Metazoa; Platyhelminthes; Trematoda; Strigeidida; Schistosomatidae
Source: RNAcentral
GUUCAGCUGACGAGUUCUAAAUAGGACGAAACGCACAUCCUGGAU